CAGCAGGAGCAGUUCAGGUCCCUGCCCCACCUAACUGUGUAAAUAAGGCAGGUAUCUGUCCAGAAGGCUCCACUAAAAUCACUUGAAUCAAUCCACCUCUGUUCCAGCUCAAUCAUUUUCAAAUCCCGCUCCAAUGAAAGGCUGCUUUGUGCUACAGUCUCUCUGGGUAGUAAAAUGUUGCUUUCUUUAUGUCCCAACACUUACAGAAUUGACCCAGAGGAGUCUCAAUGAGUGCAUUUAUUCCCAAAUACCCAGAGAGACCAACAGGGGUGGCUCGAGCAGGAUCUCCAUCCCCGAGUGUACACAAUGCUGUGUUGUAACCCGUCGCUCUAGUGUAUGUGUGUGGGUUUAACUGUGCCUCAGUCACAACAGGACACUGUGAAAGGAGUUUUUCCAACUCUGAUGUGCUCUUCGGGCAGAAAACUCCAAAGCAAGUCGAGUAAGAGAAUUCACUGAAAUCAGCUUCAUGAGAGGAAAAUAAAAGUGACUGAUGCAGUAGCCAAACAAAUUUACAGUAUAAACAUCAAGCUUUACGCAACAUGGACUAAAGGAUGAGGGCUGUCUGAAACCAUUCCUCAAAUCCAGACUAAUAUGUAGGCCAGGGGUUAAAAUCAUUUCCCCUGAAAUAAGAAGACUCGAGGCCAAUUUAUAACCAAUCAGAUCACAAUCAGCCACAACAUUCAAACCACGGCAGGUGAUGUGAAUAACAAUGAUCACACUGAUCCUCAUACUGACCCACCCCCACCUACCUGCCCCAAAGUCAACGGCUGUCCCUAACUGCAAAACGGCUCAGGGAAGGAAGGAGGAAGAAGACAAACAUCCCGAAGGGAAAGAUCCGGGCAGGUGAUCUGCAUACUAUGACUGACUGCUAGUCUGAAACCUGCCGAGGGAGAUGCUGACCGAGUUUGGAGCUUCAGCGUGGAGCCAACUACAAUUUCUCUUGUUUCCUUUGAAUAGUUUGGAGGCGGGGACUGUUUUGAGAAACACAAAUGACUGCCAAUAGCGACAGGGACUUGCCUCCUCCGCGGUGCCUUCAAGUGCACCUCGGAUCAUUUCUGUUUCGCAUUGAAACAACAGCAAACAGUGUUUACCAAGAUACAAAUAAAUAAAUGUCAUUAGUUUCUUAGCUGAUUGAAAGAAAAUCGACCAGUAGCUAAAAAAUGUAAUCCAAAAAUUCCAGACAAGAAGACAGAGUUUCCGCUUAUUUACUUUUUAUAUGGUUGCAGACUAAAUAUUUUCACUAUAGGGUCAACUGGUAGGACAAAACGAUACUUCUGAUUUUUAACAGACCAAAAAUAGAAUAUCAGACAAAAUUAUCAGCUGAAAUACCUCAGCUUCUUAUACUAAUUGGUAGCAGUUUGAAUGUUAGAUCACUUCAGCUUCCUUCUGUCUUUAGAAAUCUUAAUGACUCUUUUGCCAAAAGAGAUUAAGCCUGCUGCAAAUGAGUGCUGGAUCUGAACCCAGGCAGCAGGACCAUUUGGAUGGAUUUAAAUCCUCUGAUAAGGUGAAGCAGGAGGGUUUUCAUUUAUGUUUAUUACCAGUGCAUGCAUUAUGAAUCAAUCCAGUUCAAUAAGUUGACUGAUGAUUUUCUAUCCUUUUGUUAAAAGUUUAAAACGAUUUUGCUUAUUUUUCUUUAAUAACAUUGAAAAGCUGCUUUGAGUAUUUGCUCAUUCAUCAAUUGGGAAUAUUUCAAAUGAGGGAGAAGCUGCAAAAAAGCAAAUGUGCCUUGCAGAAAUAAUCUUGUGUAAAUUUCAUUAGAAACCUGGGGUCUUACAUAAUUUUCUGUGUGGCCGACUGUUUGCAGUACAGUUGUGUAAACCAUUGUGACCACCAGCCAUUGACAGAGUUUCCACAGGUGUGUCAUCAUGUUGUUAGUGCACACAUUGCUGUGAAGGCAGCAUUUGUUGCUUUCAAGCCAACCUUUAGUUGCAAAUUUAGU
Oreochromis niloticus (Nile tilapia) is the source of this 1939-nucleotide long non-coding RNA. RefSeq lists it as uncharacterized. The transcript has 2 exons. Lineage: Eukaryota; Metazoa; Chordata; Actinopteri; Cichliformes; Cichlidae. The record is from RefSeq and is a predicted model, not a curated record.